This is a transfer RNA of 85 nucleotides. It matches the Rfam family "tRNA". From Rfam's summary of the family: Transfer RNA (tRNA) molecules are approximately 80 nucleotides in length.
GCGGGCGUGGCGGAAAUGGCAGACGCGCUAGACUUAGGAUCUAGUGAUUAGUUUCGUGCAGGUUCAAGUCCUGUCGCCCGCACCA